Molecule: long non-coding RNA, 4635 nt
Filed under: Sus scrofa (pig)
Lineage: Eukaryota; Metazoa; Chordata; Mammalia; Artiodactyla; Suidae
Description: lncRNA (ENSSSCG00000062338.1)
Source: RNAcentral
UUUUUUUUUUUUUUUUUGGUCUUUUUAGGGCUGCACCCACAGGAUAUGUAGGUUCCUAGGCUAGAGGUCCAAUCAGAGCUGUAGCUGCCAGUCUAUGCCACAGCCACAGCAACGCAAGAUCUGAGCCAUGUCUGCUACCUACACCACAGCUCACAGCAAUGCCAGAUCCUUAACCCACUGAGCAAAGCCAGGGAUUGAACCUACAUUCUCAGGGAUACUAAUCAGAUUUGUUUCUGCUGAGCCAAGAUGGAAGCUCCAGUCUCAGUAGUUUUUUUUUUUGCUUUUUAGGGGGCUGCACCUGAGGCAUAUGGAAGUUUCCAGGCGAGGGGCUGAAUCAGAGCUGUAGCUGCUGGCCUUGCCAUAGCCACAGCAACACGGGAUCUAAGUCACGUCUGCGACCUACACCACAGCUCAUGGCAAAGCCGGACCCUUAACCCACUGAGCAAGGCCAGGGAUCAAACCUGCAUCCUCAUGGAUACUAGCUGGAUUCGUUUCCACUGAGCCACACAGGAACUUCAACCACACACUCUUAAACAACCAAUAGAUCAAAGAAAUCACAAUAGAAAAUUUUAAAAUACUUAGAGAUGAAAGUAAACAAAAUGCAACAUAUCAAAACUGGGAUGAAGCAAAAUCAAUCAAUGCUCAGGGGGAAAUUUAUAGCUAUAAAGAUCUCAAAUUUACAACCUAACUUUACAACUUAAGGAAGCUAGAAAAAGAAGAACCAACUAAACCUAAUAUUAGUGGAAGGAAGGAAAUAAUAAUUAGAGCAGAGAUAAAGGCGGUAAGAGAAUAGAAAGACAAUAGAGAAUAAUUAAACCAAAAGUAGUUUUUUGAAAAGAUAACCAAAACUGCCAAACCUUUAUCUAGAUGGACUAAGAAAAAAAGACUCAAAUUACUAAGAAAUGAAAGGGGACAUUACUACUGAUUCUACAGAAAUAAAAAGUAUUAUAAGAGAAAGCUAUGAACAAUUGUACACCAACAAAUUGGACAUCCUAGCCGAAAUGGUCAAAUUCCUAGAAACACAAAACCCACCAAGACUAAGUCAAUGAGAAACAGAAAAUCUGAGUAGACCUAUGACUGUGUAGACCAUUCAGUGGGGGCAAAGGGCAGUCUUUCACAAAAUUUGCUGGGAAAUGGGAUAUCUGCAUGCAAAAGAUUGAAGUUGGACCCUUACCUAAUCCAUGGACAAAAACUAACUCAAAAUGGACUAAAGACCUAAAACUCCUAACUCUUAGAAGAAAACAUAAGGCAGAAAGUUCAUGAUGGAUUCGCAGUGAUUUCUUGAGUAUGCCACCAUAGGCAAAGGCUACAAAAGAAAAAAUAGACAAGGUGGGCUUUAUAAGAAUUUACAAACUUUGUGCAUUAAAAGACACUUAAGAGAGUAUAAAGGCAAGCCACAGAAGGAGACAACAUUUGCAAACCAUAUAUGUGAUAAGGGACUAGUAUCCAGAAUAUACAGAGAACUCCUACAACUCAACAACAAAAUAACCCACUUCAAAACUGGACAAAGGACUUGAAUAUACAUUUCUUUAGCAAACGUGAAUGGCCAACAAUCACAUGAAAAGUUGCUUACCAUCACUGAUAAUUAGGGAAAUGCAAAUCACAACUGCCAUUUAGGUACUUAGAUACUACCUCACACCCAUUAAGAUGGCUACUAUUUUAAACAAAAAACAGAAAAUAACAAGUGUUGUCAAGGUCGUGCGGAAAACUGAACCCUUGUGCCCUCUUGGUGGGAAUGUACAAUGGUACCGCUGCUGUGGAAAAGAGUUUGCCAGCUCCUUAAAAAAUGAGAAAUAAAAUUACAUAUGAUCCAGCAAACCAAUUUCUGGGUCUUGAAAAAAUAUCUGUACACCCAUGUUCAUAGCAUUAUUCACAAUGGCUAAAACAUUGAAGCAACUCAAGUACCCAUUGAUGGAUCAUGGGGAUGCAAAAUGUGAUAUAUACAUAUGAUCAAAUAUUCAGCAUUAAAAUGGAGAGAACUCUGCAAUGUGCUACAACGUGAUGAACCUUGAGGACUAUGCUAAGUGAAAUAACUGUCAUAAAAAGACUAAUACUGUAUGAAUCUAGUGGUGUGAGGUACCGAGAAGUCAAAAUCACACAGACAGAUCAUAGGAUGGUGGUUAUCGUGGGGAGUUAUUGUUUCAUGAGUAUAGAGUUUCAGUUUUGGAAGAUGAAGAGAGUUCUGGAGAUGGAUGGUAGUGAUGACAGCAUAGCAUUAUUGAUUUAUUUCUUUAGGCAAAGCAGAAGACCUUAUUGGGAAGGGGUACCUAGGUAGACAGCAGCAGAGUAAGGGAACCCAGGAGAACUGCUCUAUCAAUGUAUUUAUUACAUUGUACUACAUCCCUAAAAAUGGCUAAGAUGCUAAAUUUUGUUAUGUGUAUUUUGCCAUAAUACAAAAAAAAAAUGAAAAAAAAAAAGAUGUCCCAUAAAGAAGCAGUACCUUUUAUUAUGAAUGUCUGAUCUGCUAAGAGAGAUGAGCAUGCAACAUGGAGGGAGGGUUUGGAAAAGUUGUGAAAGGAGGAGGCCUAUGCCAGGGCUGGGCUCUGAAAAAGAUGGAGGGAGUUUGGUAAGCAGAGUUGUCCAGGAUGGCAGAAGGGACCAGCUUCCUGGCACAAGGAAGGCAGCGAAGAUUUAGGAAAGGCCAGAGCUUGUUAGGGCACAGUGAUUCACGGAAGAUGGCAGUGAGCAGUGUGAGAUCUGGAACCUGCUCCACAACUGUGGAUGAAAGCACUGAACUACUUUUUAGAAGGUAUUGCUUUAAUGCUUAGGUACCAUACUUAUGUUUUAUGAGUUAACAAUUCCAUUCCCAUCAAGCCCUAAUCUUUUUUUUUUUUUUUUUUUUGGCUGCCCUUUGGCACAUGGAGUUCCUUUCCAGGCCAGGGAUCAGAUCUGAGCCAGAGCUGUGACCUAGCUGCAGCUGCAGCAAUGCCUGAUCCUUUAACCCACUGUGCCAGGCAGGAGAUUAAACUUGUGUCCUGGUGCUGGAGAGAUACCGCCAGCCAUAUCCUGUUGCCACAGUGGGAACUCCCCUAAUCAUUUGUUGACAGAAUAUUUCUAAAGAUAUCACCUUGAGACCUUGAUUAUCCAUAUUUGAGAUCGAAUGUCAGUGUUGAACCUAUAACACAGCAGUUCAGGACCUACUGUAGUAACCCCAACACAGUCGUUACUCAAAUGUUGUUAUGCUAGCAAAUAACUGUUUCUUUGAUUUGGAACUCGAUGAAUUUUUCUUCUCAUCAAAUAAAUAUCCAAUCCUACCUUCAAAUGAAUAGCAUUGAGUUUAUUCUAUUCUUUGGUUUUCCCUCUUUGAUUAUUUAAAAAGGAAACCCUUCUCUCACAAACGCGUAAGUUAAUCAUGAGGAACCCUAUCAGAUAAACCCAAACUGAGACUCUAUAUAAAAUAAAUAGCCUGCAGUCAAAAAUGUCAACAGAUGAAAGACAAACAGAAGUUGAGGAAUAGCGCCAGAUGAAAGGAUACUAAAGAGAUUUCCAAAUGCAAUGAAUGGUCCUGAAUGGGGGAGGGGUGGGGCAGGAAAUGUAUCACAAAGGCCAUUUUGUGGACAAUUUGAUUAUAGAUGGUUUAUCAGAUAAUGAUGUUGCAUCAUUAUUAAAUCCCCUGAAUGUGAUAACUGUGCUGUGGCUAUAUAAGUGAAUGUCCUGGUUCUUAGGAGAUACAGGCUGAGUUCCUUUCGUGGCUCAGUGGUAACAAACCCAGCUAGGAUCCAUGAGGACUCAGGUUCCAUCCCUGGCCUCACUCAGUGGGUUAAGGAUCUGGUGUUGCCUUGCGCUGUGGUGUAGGUCCCAGAUGUGGCUCGGGUACCACAUUGCUAUGGCUGUGAUGUAGGCCAGCAGCUACAACUCUGAUUCAACCCCUAGCCUGGGAACCUCCAUAUGCUUCAGAUGCAGCCCUAAAAAGACAAAAAAAAAAAAAAAAGGAAAAGAAAGAAAAAAAAUCAUAUCUACAAAUUGCUUUCAAAUUAUCUAGUGAUAUUUGUACAGCAAAGGAAAUCAUAAACAAACAAACAAACAAAAUAAGACAAACCGUGGGGAAUUCCCUUGUGAUGUAGCAGAUUAAGGAUCCAGAAUUGCCACUGCAGUGGCUUGGUUGCUGCUGUGGUGCAGGUUUGAUCACUGGCCCAGGAACUUCCACAUGCCACAGAGGUGGCCAAAAAACCAACAAACCAACCAACCAAACAGCUGGCUUCUGGGAGGCCAUUGAGAAAAGAACCUAGUGAAAUGCCCAAGGAGGAUCCCAAAUAAACACUGUUCUGAAGAGUUAAGUAAAUUCCAUGAAAUGUCUUAGUAAAUGAAUUAUUUGCUAUGAAAUAAGAAAAAAAAAAAAAAAAGCAACUACGGAAUGAGAAAAACAAAAAUUCAACUGACAAGGGCUUAAUCUCCAAAUAUACAAACAACUCUUAUAACUCAACAACAAAUAAAACAAACAACCCAAUUGAAAAAUGAGCAAAAAGGAGUUCCUGUCGUGGUUUAGUGGUUAAUGAACCUGACUGGUAUCCACGAGGACGUGGGUUCCAUCCCUGAUCUUGUUCAGUGGGUUGAAGAUCCCGAAUUGCUGUGGAUGUGGAUGUAGCCAGUGGCUACAGCUCUGAUUCAACCCCUAGUCUGGGAACCUCCAUAUGC